This is a long non-coding RNA of Ictalurus punctatus (channel catfish), 341 nucleotides long. NCBI's taxonomy places the organism in Eukaryota, Metazoa, Chordata, Actinopteri, Siluriformes, Ictaluridae. The record is from Ensembl.
UUACUUUAUACCUUUGAAUAAUUUUAACUCAUUUUCAUUUCAUCUUUUGUCAGAUUUCUUUACAACAACAACAACAACAAUAACAACAACAACAACGACGAGUGAUAAAUACAACAUGACACGUUUCUUUCCUACACCAACACAGCCGUCCAUCACUACUGAGAAAUCCACUGCAUAUGUUCCUCAGCCCCGGCUGACCGUGUCUCCUGAAGUUCUCACAGAGAGAGGAUCAGUGCAGAUUCACUGUCAUGUUCCAGACAAUGUUAAAGUGCAUCAGUGUUAUUUCUACCCAGAGAGAGACAACACAAAUCUAAAACUCUCUCCAUCAUGUCAGCUCUCAG